Molecule: ribosomal RNA, 253 nt
Filed under: uncultured bacterium
Lineage: Bacteria
Description: partial 16S ribosomal RNA
Rfam family: Bacterial small subunit ribosomal RNA
Source: RNAcentral
UACAGAGACUGCAAGCGUUAUUCGGAUUCACUGGGCGUAAAGGGUGCGCAGGUGGCCAAGUGUGUUAGGCGUGAAAGCCCGGGGCUUAACCCCGGAAUUGCACCUAAAACUACUUGGCUAGAGCAUUGGAGAGGGGAGCAGAAUUCAUGGUGUAGCAGUGAAAUGCGUAGAUAUCAUGAGGAAUACCAGAGGCGAAGGCGGCUCCCUGGACAAUUGCUGACACUCAGGCAUGAAAGCGUGGGGAGCAAAAGGG